AUUGAACGCUGGCGGCAGGCCUAACACAUGCGAGUCGAACGGUAACAGGAAGCAGCUUGCUGCUUUGCUGACGAGUGGCGGACGGGUGAGUAAUGUCUGGGAAACUGCCCGAUGGAGGGGGAUAACUACUGGAAACGGUAGCUAAUACCGCAUAACGUCGCAAGACCAAAGAGGGGGACCUUAGGGCCUCUUGCCAUCGGAUGUGCCCAGAUGGGAUUAGCUAGUAGGUGGGGUAACGGCUCACCUAGGCGACGAUCCCUAGCUGGUCUGAGAGGAUGACCAGCCACACUGGAACUGAGACACGGUCCAGACUCCUACGGGAGGCAGCCGUGGGGAAUAUUGCACAAUGGGCGCAAGCCUGAUGCAGCCAUGCCGCGUGUAUGAAGAAGGCCUUCGGGUUGUAAAGUACUUUCAGCGGGGAGGAAGGGAGUAAAGUUAAUACCUUUGCUCAUUGACGUUACCCGAAGAAGAAGCACCGGCUAACUCCGUG
RNAcentral lists this ribosomal RNA (490 nucleotides) under uncultured bacterium. RNAcentral's name for it is "partial 16S ribosomal RNA". It matches the Rfam family "Bacterial small subunit ribosomal RNA", at positions 30 to 507 of the family's 1533-position model. The record is from RNAcentral.